CGGACGCUGGCGGCGUGCUUACCACAUGCAAGUCGAACGGAAAGGCCCUGCUUUUGUGGGGUGCUCGAGUGGCGAACGGGUGAGUAACACGUGAGUAACCUGCCCUUGACUUUGGGAUAACUUCAGGAAACUGGGGCUAAUACCGGAUAGGAGCUCCUGCUGCAUGGUGGGGGUUGGAAAGUUUCGGCGGUUGGGGAUGGACUCGCGGCUUAUCAGCUUGUUGGUGGGGUAGUGGCUUACCAAGGCUUUGACGGGUAGCCGGCCUGAGAGGGUGACCGGCCACAUUGGGACUGAGAUACGGCCCAGACUCCUACGGGAGGCAGCAGUGGGGAAUAUUGCACAAUGGGCGGAAGCCUGAUGCAGCAACGCCGCGUGCGGGAUGACGGCCUUCGGGUUGUAAACCGCUUUCGCCUGUGACGAAGCGUGAGUGACGGUAAUGGGUAAAGAAGCACCGGCUAACUACGUG
Molecule: ribosomal RNA, 466 nt
Filed under: uncultured bacterium
Lineage: Bacteria
Description: partial 16S ribosomal RNA
Rfam family: Bacterial small subunit ribosomal RNA
Source: RNAcentral